CCAGAGACACCAAAAGGUUGGACACCCCUGGAACAUCACAGGGCAAUUUAUUGGCCGUGCUGUUAAAUCUGAUGCUGCUUUGCAGUAGAGGAGAGCAGAGCCAUGGGUCACCCUAAAGUGAGGUUGACAGGAACUUUAGCUUACAAAAUGUAACAGCUGAAUGAAAAUGGAGAUACAGGAAUAACCAUUGGUUUUCAUGUUAUUGUCUAUGUCAGCGAUUUUCAAGUGGUGUGUGCCACACAGCAUGCACAUUAGGAGCCACAAGAAUGUUUAAAGCGUGCAACAUCGGACUACUUAGUUGGGGGUUCUGACCUCGUUUCCCUUAGAUUGUCAAAUAAAAAAAUGGCAACAGCCAACACAAUAA
Molecule: long non-coding RNA, 364 nt
Organism: Phyllostomus hastatus (greater spear-nosed bat)
Lineage: Eukaryota; Metazoa; Chordata; Mammalia; Chiroptera; Phyllostomidae
Exons: 2
Source: RefSeq, a predicted model, not a curated record